Molecule: non-coding RNA, 21 nt
Organism: Caenorhabditis elegans
Lineage: Eukaryota; Metazoa; Nematoda; Chromadorea; Rhabditida; Rhabditidae
Source: Ensembl
UCACUCUCAUUGUUUAGGAUC